RNAcentral lists this unclassified non-coding RNA (332 nucleotides) under Hevea brasiliensis (rubber tree). The record is from RNAcentral. Lineage: Eukaryota; Viridiplantae; Streptophyta; Magnoliopsida; Malpighiales; Euphorbiaceae.
AGAAGUGAGGAAACUUAGAGGCUACAUGUAUGCUUUUAAGGCCAGCUAAAUUUCUGUCAACCUGCAUUUUCAUUUUUUUACUUCAUUGGGAUUGAACUCAGUUUUUCAAGCAUAGCAGGUUGGGAAAAGGAAGCUACAUGGAUCACUAAAUUUGAAAUGAGGAAUUUACAUCAUGCUUAUGCCUUUCUGUACAAAUAAAUAACCAUGAGUUUUUCUCUUAAUCUCACAUGUGAUCACAAGUGGGGUGGCUUGAAGUUUGGCAUAAUCUACUUCUACAAGUAAAAUUACUACACAAGUUUUUGCAAGUAUUUAAGUUGCUCCCAGCCGCAACU